UCUGGGGGUUUGGCUCUGGGGAAGGGGUUCUGAGGAGGGGGCAGAUUCUCCUGGGGAGGUGGGCUCUGGGGGUGGGGAGCAGGUUUUCCUGGGUGGGCCUCUCCUGGGACCAACUCUCCCUGGCCGCAGUCUCUCUUGGCCACGAUUCUUUCCUCCCAAGCCGUCCCUUGGUUUAAGGUGUUUUUCCUGGCCAUCCUGUCUUGACUAGAACUUUACCUACACCUUCCUUUUUGGUUUAGGCAAAUUAUAGUAUCUAAAACUAAAGUCUCAGCUCUGUGUCUUUGACAUAUAAAUGUUCUACCAUGUCUUCUCUGGAAUCUGAUAACUAUCUAUCUCUUUAAAAUGCAAGUCUAGGGAGAUGACUCAUCAGAAAAAGAAGAAAAAAGAGGUAUUUGGAAAUUGUGCAAAUUAAAGCAGCCCCUGAUGUCAAAGUCUACACAUUCCUGAGUGAGUCAGUUC
Molecule: long non-coding RNA, 459 nt
Filed under: Homo sapiens (human)
Lineage: Eukaryota; Metazoa; Chordata; Mammalia; Primates; Hominidae
Description: non-protein coding lnc-RGPD1-5:1
Source: RNAcentral